This 368-nucleotide ribosomal RNA is filed under the name uncultured bacterium. Its description in RNAcentral is "partial 16S ribosomal RNA". It matches the Rfam family "Bacterial small subunit ribosomal RNA", at positions 338 to 723 of the family's 1533-position model. The record is from RNAcentral.
CCUACGGGAGGCAGCAGUAGGGAAUAUUGCUCAAUGGACGAAACCCUGAACCAGCCACGCCGCGUGGAGGAUGAAGGUUUUAGGAUUGUAAACUCCUUUUGUUAGAGAAGUUUAUGACGGUAUGUAACGGAUAAGCACCGACUAACUCCGUGCCAGCAGCCGCGGUAAUACGGAGGGUGCAAGCGUUACUCGGAAUCACUGGGCGUAAAGAGUGCGUAGGCGGGGUAAUAAGUCAGAUGUGAAAUCCUGUAGCUUAACCACAGAAUUGCAGUUGAAACUGUUACUCUGGAGUGUGGGAGAGGUAGGUGGAAUUCGUGGUGUAGCGGUAAAAUGCGUAGAGAUCAAGAGGAAUACUGAUUGCGAAGGCG